CAGUUCGGAUCGGAGUCUGCAACCCGACUCCGUGAAGCUGGAUUCGCUAGUAAUCGCGCAUCAGCCAUGGCGCGGUGAAUACGUUCCCGGGCCUUGUACACACCGCCCGUCAAGCCAUGGAAGCCGGGGGGCGCUUGAAGUGCGUUGCCGCAAGGCGCGCCCUAGAGCGAAACCGGUGACUGGGGCUAAGUCGUAACAAGGUAGC
This 205-nucleotide ribosomal RNA is filed under the name uncultured bacterium. RNAcentral describes it as "partial 16S ribosomal RNA". It matches the Rfam family "Bacterial small subunit ribosomal RNA", at positions 1289 to 1500 of the family's 1533-position model. The record is from RNAcentral.